Molecule: ribosomal RNA, 490 nt
Filed under: uncultured bacterium
Lineage: Bacteria
Description: partial 16S ribosomal RNA
Rfam family: Bacterial small subunit ribosomal RNA
Source: RNAcentral
AUUGAACGCUGGCGGCAUGCUUUACACAUGCAGGUCGGACGGCAGCACAGAGAAGCUUGCUUCUUGGGUGGCGAGUGGCGAACGGGUGAGUAAUAUAUCGGGACGUAUCGAGUAAUGGGGGAUAACUAAUCGAAAGAUUAGCUAAUACCGCAUAUUCUCUGAGGAGGAAAGCAGGGGACCUUCUGGCCUUGCGUUAUUCGAGCGGCCGAUAUCUGAUUAGCUAGUUGGUGGGGUAAAGGCCUACCAAGGCGACGAUCAGUAGCGGGUCUGAGAGGAUGAUCAGCCACACUGGAACUGAGACACGGCCCAGACUCCUACGGGAGGCAGCAGUGGGGAAUUUUGGACAAUGGGCGCAAGCCUGAUCCAGCCAUGCCGCGUGUCUGAAGAAGGCCUUCGGGUUGUAAAGGACUUUUGUCAGGGAAGAAAAGGCUGAUGCUAAUACCGACAGCUGAUGACGGUACCUGAAGAAUAAGCACCGGCUAACUACGUG